AUUGAAUGGGAAUAAAGACCCAACAUUAUAUGGAUGAAGAAUCCCUAUAAAUCAACAUUUUUCAAUAGUUAAAAUGCUUGAUUUUCAUUAAAAACAAGAUGGUUUCCUACCAUUUCCUCUACAAAAAAACUCUUGUCAGAUUAACAACUCACAAGGGUUUUUUC
This is a small RNA of Enterococcus dispar ATCC 51266, 164 nucleotides long. It matches the Rfam family "Listeria sRNA rli38". The record is from Rfam. Lineage: Bacteria; Bacillati; Bacillota; Bacilli; Lactobacillales; Enterococcaceae.